This 454-nucleotide ribosomal RNA is filed under the name uncultured Prevotella sp. RNAcentral describes it as "partial 16S ribosomal RNA". It matches the Rfam family "Bacterial small subunit ribosomal RNA", at positions 341 to 792 of the family's 1533-position model. The record is from RNAcentral. Lineage: Bacteria; Pseudomonadati; Bacteroidota; Bacteroidia; Bacteroidales; Prevotellaceae.
ACGGGAGGCAGCAGUGAGGAAUAUUGGUCAAUGGGCGAGAGCCUGAACCAGCCAAGUAGCGUGCAGGAUGACGGCCCUAUGGGUUGUAAACUGCUUUUAGGCGGGGAUAAAAGACGUCACGUGUGAUGUUUUGCAGGUACCGCAUGAAUAAGGACCGGCUAAUUCCGUGCCAGCAGCCGCGGUAAUACGGAAGGUCCGGGCGUUAUCCGGAUUUAUUGGGUUUAAAGGGAGCGUAGGCCGGACUUUAAGCGUGUUGUGAAAUGUAGUCGCUCAACGGGUGCACUGCAGCGCGAACUGGAGUCCUUGAGUGCGCGGGAAGUUGGCGGAAUUUGUCGUGUAGCGGUGAAAUGCUUAGAUAUGACGAAGAACUCCGAUUGCGAAGGCAGCUUACUGUAGCGCUACUGACGCUAAAGCUCGAAAGUGUGGGUAUCGAACAGGAUUAGAUACCCUGGUA